Molecule: ribosomal RNA, 460 nt
Filed under: uncultured bacterium
Lineage: Bacteria
Description: partial 16S ribosomal RNA
Rfam family: Bacterial small subunit ribosomal RNA
Source: RNAcentral
CCUACGGGAGGCAGCAGUGGGGAAUAUUGGUCAAUGGGCGCUAGCCUGAACCAGCCAAGCAGCGUGAAGGAUGACUGCUUUAUGGGUUUUAAGCUUUUUUUAUAUGGGAAUAAAGUGCAGUAUGUAUACUGCUUUGCAUGUACCUUAUGAAUAAGGAUCGGCUAACUCCGUGCCAGCAGCCGCGGUAAUACGGAGGAUCAGAGCGUUAUCCGGAUUUAUUGGGUUUAAAGGGAGCGUAGGCGGGUUGGUAAGUCAGUUGUGAAAGUUUGCGGCUCAACCGUACAAUUGCAGUUGAUACUGGCAUCCUUGAGUACAGUAGAGGUAGGCGGAAUUCGUGGUGUAGCGGUGAAAUGCGUAGAUAUCACGAAGAACUCCGAUGGCGAAGGCAGCCUGCUGGACUGUAACUGACGCUGAUGCUCGAAAGUGUGGGUAUCAAACAGGAUUAGAUACCCUUGUAGUC